ACCAAACCUAGCCCAUUAACCCAACCCAUCUAAACGACUAAGAGUCAAUUAAACAAAACAUUUACCCACUGCUCUAAAGUAUAGGAGAUAGAAAUUCUAAAUCGGCGCUAUAGAGGGAGUACCGUAAGGGAACGAUGAAAGAAAAAACUUAAAGUACAAAAAAGCAAAGAUUAACCCUUGUACCUUUUGCAUAAUGAAUUAACUAGUAACAACUUAACAAAAUGAAUUUCAGCUAAGUAACCCGAAACCAGACGAGCUAUUUAUGAACAGUUUAUCAAGAACCAACUCAUCUGUGUGGCAAAACAGUGAGAAGAUUUAUAAAUAGAGGUGAAACGCCUAACGAGCCUGGUGAUAGCUGGUUGUCCAGAAAACGAAUCUUAGUUCGGCUUUAAAAAUACCAAAAAAUCUCCAUAAAUCCAACUGUAUUUUUAAAAGUUAGUCUAAAAGGGUACAGCCUUUUAGAAAUGGGUACAACCUUAACUAGAGAGUAAGACCUAAAAAUAUCCUAGUUGGCCUAAAAGCAGCCACCAAUUAAGAAAGCGUUAAAGCUCAACAUAAAAAUAACCCUAAUCCCAACAAUAAUCAACCAACUCCUAGCCCCAAUACUGGACCAAUCUAUUUUACAAUAGAAGAAAUAAUGUUAGUAUGAGUAACAAGAAGCACCUUCUCCUUGCAUAAGUUUAAGUCAGUAUCUGAUACUACUCUGACUGUUAACAGCUAAUAAAAACAACCCAACAAUAGACAAUUUAUUUAAUAUACUGUUGACCCAACACAGGGAUGCAUUCAAGGAAAGAUUAAAAGAAGUAAAAGGAACUCGGCAAACACAAACCCCGCCUGUUUACCAAAAACAUCACCUCCAGCAUACCCAGUAUUGGAGGCACUGCCUGCCCAGUGACACUAGUUCAACGGCCGCGGUAUCCUGACCGUGCAAAGGUAGCAUAAUCAUUUGUUCUCUAAAUAAGGACUUGCAUGAAUGGCCACACGAGGGUUUAACUGUCUCUUACUUCCAAUCAGUGAAAUUGACCUUCCCGUGAAGAGGCGGGAAUGAACUAAUAAGACGAGAAGACCCUAUGGAGCUUUAACUAACUAGCCCAAAGACAAACCAAACCUAACCACCAAGGGAUAACAAUGCUCUCCAUGGACUAGCAGUUUCGGUUGGGGUGACCUCGGAGAACAAAAAAUCCUCCGAACGAUUUUAAAGACAAGACUUACAAGUCAAAUUAUGAUAUCGCUUAUUGACCCAAAAAAUUGAUCAACGGAACAAGUUACCCUAGGGAUAACAGCGCAAUCCUGUUCAAGAGUCCAUAUCGACAACAGGGUUUACGACCUCGAUGUUGGAUCAGGACAUCCCGAUGGUGCAACCGCUAUCAAAGGUUCGUUUGUUCAACGAUUAAAGUCCUACGUGAUCUGAGUUCAGACCGGAGUAAUCCAGGUCGGUUUCUAUCUAUUAUGUAUUUCUCCCAGUACGAAAGGACAAGAGAAAUGAGGCCAACUUCAAAAAAGCGCCUUAAACCAAUUAAUGAUAUUAUCUUAAUUAACUCCACAAACAAAACAUGCCCUAGAAAGGGGCCCA
This 1573-nucleotide ribosomal RNA is filed under the name Antilocapra americana (pronghorn). RNAcentral describes it as "16S ribosomal RNA". It matches the Rfam family "Bacterial large subunit ribosomal RNA". Lineage: Eukaryota; Metazoa; Chordata; Mammalia; Artiodactyla; Antilocapridae. The record is from RNAcentral.